Molecule: long non-coding RNA, 490 nt
Organism: Humulus lupulus (European hop)
Lineage: Eukaryota; Viridiplantae; Streptophyta; Magnoliopsida; Rosales; Cannabaceae
Exons: 3
Source: RefSeq, a predicted model, not a curated record
UACUGAACUUUUUUUAACCCGUGUACCCACUUCCCCUAUACCCAUUUCCUCAACCAUUCUUCGGUCUUCCCUUUCCCCUCAGUCCCUUCAAUCUUCAAUGUUCUUCGUCUUUCCAUUCCUGGUCCGUGCGUGGUGGUCUAUCUCUCUCGGUUUCCCGUAGACUCGGUCUCUCUCUCGGUCUCUCGGUUUCAGUUCGUGGUCCGUUCGUAGCUUGCUCUUGCAAGUCAGCCCUCUUGCAGGUCAGCCCUCUCUUUGUACCAAGUUCUCCUUUGCUCUAUCAAUGGAGGAGCCUCUUCUAUUCUGAGAAAUACCUCAAACCCACCAGCUGUUUCACUCAUUCUCAGGUUGGGGAUCGAAUUGGCAAGGAGCAUUGCAAAGGUAAUUUGCAAGAGGUACGGAAUUUGUUCUUUUAACUCUUAUUAUUAAUAUCUUUAAAAUGUUAGAGGAGUUUGAAUAUCUUAAAUAUUCAUCCAUAGAGAAGUAGGUUCUG